UAGGGAAUCUUCCACAAUGGGCGAAAGCCUGAUGGAGCAACGCCGCGUGUGUGAUGAAGGGUUUCGGCUCGUAAAACACUGUUGUAAGAGAAGAAUGACAAUGAGAGUAACUGCUCAAUGUGUGACGGUAUCUUACCAGAAAGGAACGGCUAAAUACGUGCCUG
Molecule: ribosomal RNA, 164 nt
Filed under: uncultured bacterium
Lineage: Bacteria
Description: partial 16S ribosomal RNA
Rfam family: Bacterial small subunit ribosomal RNA
Source: RNAcentral